Molecule: ribosomal RNA, 775 nt
Filed under: uncultured Neocallimastigales
Lineage: Eukaryota; Fungi; Neocallimastigomycota; Neocallimastigomycetes; Neocallimastigales
Description: partial large subunit ribosomal RNA
Rfam family: Eukaryotic large subunit ribosomal RNA
Source: RNAcentral
GAGACUCUGUGCGCGUGCAUAUCAAUAAGCGGAGGAAAAGAAACUAACAAGGAUUCCCUUAGUAACGGCGAGUGAAGCGGGAAGAGCUCAAAUUUGAAAUCUUCAAGGUUCUACCUUGACGAAUUGUAGUUUAUAGAAGUGUUUUCUGUUAGUGGAGUGGCAAAAGUUCUUUGGAAUAGGACAUCAUAGAGGGUGAGAAUCCCGUAUUUGGUCAUUCCUUCCUAGCGUUGUGAUACACUUUCGACGAGUCGGAUUGUUUGGGAAUGCAGUCCAAAAUGGGUGGUAAAUUUCAUCUAAAGCUAAAUAUUGGCGAGAGACCGAUAGCGAACAAGUACCGUGAGGGAAAGAUGAAAAGAACUUUGAAAAGAGAGUUAAACAGUACGUGAAAUUGUCAAAAGGGAAGCGUUUGACACCAGUGUUGUUUUUCCGAAAAUCAAUUACGAAUGUUUUGUUUUUGAGGAGUUAUGACUUCAUCGGCUUGCUCCUUUCUUUACGAAACUUUCUUAAUGCACUUUUCGGUUAACAAGUCAACAUCAAUUUCUUUUGCUGUAAAAGGGUCAUUGGAAGGUGGCUUUCUUUUCGGAGAAAGUGUUUAUAGCCUUUGAUCUCUGCAACCGGAGAGAUUGAGGUCUGCAGCGUAGAUCCUUCGGGGUUAGAUACAUUGGUGCUAAGCUAUAGCCUUGUAUAGACAACUUGUUGACUAUGCUCAGUCAUGUAGCUUACUCGCUGAUGCUAUUUUACCUACGCUUAGGAUGUUGACAGCAGUAUAGACUGU